This 760-nucleotide ribosomal RNA is filed under the name uncultured bacterium. Its description in RNAcentral is "bacterial SSU rRNA". It matches the Rfam family "Bacterial small subunit ribosomal RNA", at positions 62 to 800 of the family's 1533-position model. The record is from RNAcentral.
UCGAACGCGAAAGAAGCCUUCGGGUUUCAAGUAGAGUGGCGUCCGGGUGAGUAACACGUAGGUAAUCUACCUUCGGGUGGGGAAUAACGCAGGGAAACUUGCGCUAAUACCGCAUAAUGCAGCGGCACCACAUGGUGACAGUUGUUAAAGCGGGGGAUUUUCGAACCUCGUGCCUGAAGAGGAGCCUGCGGCAGAUUAGCUAGUUGGUAAGGUAACGGCUUACCAAGGCGACGAUCUGUAGCCGGCCUGAGAGGGCGGUCGGCCACACUGACACUGACAUACGGGUCAGACUCCUACGGGAGGCAGCAGUCGGGAAUUUUGGGCAAUGGGCGAAAGCCUGACCCAGCAACGCCGCGUGAAGGAUGAAAUCCCUCGGGAUGUAAACUUCGCAAGAAUGGGAAGAAUUAGCGAGUAUUAAUACUGCUCGUGAUGACGGUACCAUUUGUAAGCUCCGGCUAACUCCGUGCCAGCAGCCGCGGUAAUACGGGGGGAGCAAGCGUUGUUCGGAUUUACUGGGCGUAAAGGGCGCGUAGGCGGCCAGCACAAGUCAGUUGUGAAAUCUCCGGGCUUAACUCGGAAAGGUCAACUGAUACUGUGCGGCUAGAGUGCAGAAGGGGCAACUGGAAUUCUCGGUGUAGCGGUGAAAUGCGUAGAUAUCGAGAGGAACACCUGCGGCGAAGGCGGGUUGCUGGGCUGACACUGACGCUGAUGCGCGAAAGCCAGGGGAGCGAACGGGAUUAGGUACCCCGGUAGUCCUGGC